ACUUUUAAAGGAUAGAAGCAAUCCACUGGCCUUAGGAGCCAUCCACCCUUGGUGCAACUCCAAGUGAAAGUA
This 72-nucleotide transfer RNA is filed under the name Chelonoidis chilensis (Chilean tortoise). Its description in RNAcentral is "transfer RNA-Leu". Lineage: Eukaryota; Metazoa; Chordata; Testudines; Testudinidae. The record is from RNAcentral.